This 254-nucleotide ribosomal RNA is filed under the name uncultured bacterium. RNAcentral's name for it is "partial 16S ribosomal RNA". It matches the Rfam family "Bacterial small subunit ribosomal RNA", at positions 524 to 776 of the family's 1533-position model. The record is from RNAcentral.
UACGGAGGGUGCAAGCGUUAUCCGGAUUUACUGGGUUUAAAGGGUGUGUAGGCGGACUUUUAAGUCCGUGGUGAAAUCUCCGGGCUCAACCCGGAAACUGCCAUGGAUACUAUUGGUCUUGAAUGUUGUUGAGGUGGGCGGAACGGGUCAUGUAGCGGGUGAAAUGCAUAGAUAUGACCCGGAACACCGAUUGCGAAGGCAGCCCACUAAGCAACCAUUGACGCUGAGGCACGAAAGCGUGGGGAUCAAACAGG